GGAACUGGCCGCGGCCUACGCGGCAAGGCCAAAUUUGCAAUUUGGCUCGAUCAGCACCUCCCUG
Molecule: transfer RNA, 64 nt
Filed under: Trogonophis wiegmanni (checkerboard worm lizard)
Lineage: Eukaryota; Metazoa; Chordata; Lepidosauria; Squamata; Trogonophidae
Description: tRNA-Cys
Source: RNAcentral